CCUACGGGAGGCAGCAGUGGGGAAUAUUGGGCAAUGGCGGAAACUCUGACCCAGCAAAGCCGCGUGAAUGAUGAAGGUCUUCGGAUUGUAAAGUUCUUUUCUAAGGGAAGAAGAAAGUGACGGUACCUUAGGAUUAAGCCUCGGCUAACUACGAGCCAGCAGCCGCGGGAAUACGUAGGAGGCAAGCGUUAUCCGGAAUGACUGGGCGUAAAGGGUGCGUAGGUGGUUGGACAAGUUAGUAGCGCAACUCCGGAGCUCAACUUCGGAACUACUACUAACACUGUUGGACUUGAGUGCAGGAGAGGCAAGCGGAAUUCGUGGUGUAGCGGUGGAAUGCGUAGAUAUUAGGAGGAACACCAGUGGCGAAGGCGGAGUGCUAGCCUGUAACUGACACUGAGGCACGAAAGCGUGGGGAUCAAACAGGAUUAGAUACCCUAGUAGUC
This 443-nucleotide ribosomal RNA is filed under the name uncultured bacterium. RNAcentral describes it as "partial 16S ribosomal RNA". It matches the Rfam family "Bacterial small subunit ribosomal RNA", at positions 338 to 795 of the family's 1533-position model. The record is from RNAcentral.